RNAcentral lists this long non-coding RNA (1175 nucleotides) under Homo sapiens (human). RNAcentral's name for it is "HSALNT0242251". The record is from RNAcentral. Lineage: Eukaryota; Metazoa; Chordata; Mammalia; Primates; Hominidae.
AGAGGUUGCAUUUUGAAUACCCUUGGCCUGGCUGUUGUGGUGAAGCUAAUCAGAGGUAAUUACGGGGGAAGGAGGGAUCCUGAGAGGGACCCCACAGAGACCACCUCAUCCGCCCCAGCCCAGCCCUGGUGGCCCUGGCCUCCAGGGCCUAGGCCAGCUCAGUCUUGCCUGGUGAGGGUGAACCCACCAACACCCCACCCCAUGGUCCUCUCUCUCCCGCCCACUCCCCAUUCCCACAGCUGCAGGUAAGGUUCACACAUCUGGGUUUUCCUCAAUCUCCCCAAAGCUGCUCCAUAUGCACUCAUUCAUUUCAGAUUUUCUGGGCACCUCCUCUAAGCCAAAGCCCACACUGGGCACCUGACAAAAACUGGUCCCUACCCUCAUGGAGCAGCUGCUAGGAUUUUGGUCAGGGUAGACUUUGCAGGGGCUGGGGGCAUAGCCUUGGAAAGGCAGAGGGUCCCUGCAGAAUCACAAGCCCCUUCAGGGGAGGGCCUCCCUUCUACCACCUUGCUGAUGCCAGAGGAGUGGAGCUUACCAGCCCAGAGCUUCUCGACUUCCACCACUCCUAGCCUGUCAUGGCGCCCAUCCUCCCUCCCACCCAGUGUUGAUGGGUGUCAGGCCACACCCUGCUCUGUCUCCCUGUCCUGACCACCUGUCCUCCUCCUGCAGCUUCCUCCAUCCACUUGGGUUCCCCCUGCUUUUCUGCUGGGGUGGGAAGGGGGUCUCUCUGCAGUGCAGAGAGGCUGGAUUGAGAGCAGCAUCUCUCAGUCACCUCCUUGGGGUUCACGGCCCCAAGCUGGGAGAGCCCUUAGAGACCAAGAAGAUCAGCUGUCUCUCACACCCUAGGAAAUUGAGGCCCAACGGGAUGGGGAGUCCAAGGAGUCAGGGUCAGCGGAAUUAAACCCCAGUCUCUGACUCCCAGUCCAGUGCUCUUUCUGGGGAGUCCUCCCCGAGCCUGCAUCUGGAGGACAGAGUCCAGGCCUGUUCCUUCUCCCAUCCCCUCACUGUGCCCAGAAGGAGAGAGGAGCAAACAGGGGUCCCCACCAUCCUGCCUUUCUGUCCUGCCCCACUAGCCUGGGCCCAGAGACAAGGCCGUGGGGUGGGAGGGACCACAGGGGGCUUCGUUGAGGGUCUCUAAUUUCCUCCUGCUCCUUGAUGUCCAGAGCAAAACAGGC